CUCCUCCUCCUCCUCGUCCUUCUGAACUUCUUGUUCUUCAAACAAAACCUCCCAAUUUUAGGCUUAUCCAACAAUAAUGGAAGUCUACAUAUUACCUAGAACCUUUCACAGAUCUAUGACCUGCUUCAAGUUUGUAGACUCUCUUCCUUCCCCAGUAGGAGAGUAGAAGGAUGAGGAGAGUAGAAGGAUGAGCCAUUUGGCUUCCUCCAGGGCUUGCUUGAGUCCUGCCCGUGGCAUCCAGGAGGGACCCUCAGACCAGCAUCCUGGUCUGGUCUAGGUGGUAGCUCUCUGGGGAUGUUGAUGUUCCAAUUCUUACUCCCAAGCAGGGGUUGAGCUGGGGCAAAAUUGUAGGUUUGAUGAACUGGUGAAGACAUAAAGUUGGCAGAACAAGCCACUGGAGAGGUGAGCAAUGAACAUCCCUUCUUUCUCAUUCCAUGGCUUCAGCAUGGACACAGAUCUUAGCAGAAUAUUGAGAAGCCAGGAAGCAUUGGUAAUUAGAUCAUCCUUGGGAAGACUGCUGAGAGGUAGAUGGGAGGCAUGAGGCCCUAAGCUAGGGUCAACAAUUGUGCAGGAAGCCUCCAGAGGGGUUGGCAUACUUUGGGACUAUUUGUGUCCCAGAUGGAGAAGGGGAUUGUUUGCUUGCUUGUUUUUGGUUUUGUUUUUGAUGGUGUCUGUGUUUAGCACAUCCAGAAUUCCAUUGUCAGAAUAAAAGGUUCUUGCAGCCGUGGGUUCCUUGCGCUGACAGGAAAAUUAGCACAGCUGCUCUGCUUCGCUCCACCAAAAUCCCAUACCAUCCUUCUGACAUAAAGGCUGUGGUUUUAUUUACACAAUACUAAAUGAUUUAGCUGAACACAAGUAAGCUCUGGCCUGUUUCUAUAGGUCUGAUUUCUCCAGUGGAUUGUGCAUUUUACAUUCCCUCUCAUACCUCUUCUGGAAAGGAGGGAAAAAAUGAAGUACUGCAUUGGUGGUUGGUUGGCAUUUGUUUUAUGAAGGGAACAGGUUUGCUUUUCAAGAAUUCAAACCUUCCAAUCAUAUUCAAAAGACAGUACAGAACCCAUAAGUGCACAUGAAGUCUUAAGAAAAACAUAUUUUACUUUAUGACUCGGAGGAAAAUGACCUCAGCUUGGGCAGCUUCUAAACUGGAUCACAAUGAACUCAUUUUGAACGUGAUUCCCAGUAAUCUCAGAAAGAAUGAAAGAAAAAUCACGAAGCACAUUAGAGGUUGAAUACACAGUGAAUUCAGGAAUCCAUUUGUUUGCGGGGGGCGGGGGGGUGGAAACAAAAUAAACCCACUCUGUGUAACCCUCUGCUGGAAUCUGCUGGAAUGCCCUAUUCUUUGAGAAGUUGGUGGACAUUUUUUUCCCCCCAGAAAGUUGAUUUCUAGUGGACCAUCUUAUUGGACUCUCACCUAUUCAUGAGGACAGUGGAAAUUUCUCAUUGAUGGAGUCAUGUUCUUGCUCUUACUGAAAUAUUCAUGUUCUCUUUACAUACUGGGAUGGAUGUGGAGAGGACCUCGUCAGACCUUCUCCAUGUAUGAGGGCUGCUUUUGGCAGAGCAAAUAUUCCAAGUGAAAGGAUACAGAGAUGCUUACAUAGGUCAGGGAUGAUGAGGUCACAUUUAAAAUACUGAGCCAGGGCUCCCAUUACCAGUAAAAUUCUGAGGAGUAUGGGGAUUGGGGAAAGCAAGAAAAUGUUUCUUGGAGCCGGUAACCAAAAUUGUGAAAAAGUGGGCAUGGGUGCAGGUUCAGCAAAAAUAUUCUUGGGUUAAAAACAAUUACGCAAUAGAAAAACAUGGAAAGUGCUAAGUCAAUUUCCUGUACAAGUGACAUUAAAUACUCUCCUUAGCAACAAAAGCACGUGGGCAGGUUGACUAUAUUCACUGUGCUGAGAAGGGCCAGGGCUGGCCUUCUGGCGUGUCUCCG
Long non-coding RNA from Dipodomys spectabilis (banner-tailed kangaroo rat), 1921 nucleotides. RefSeq lists it as uncharacterized. The record is from RefSeq and is a predicted model, not a curated record. The transcript has 3 exons. NCBI's taxonomy places the organism in Eukaryota, Metazoa, Chordata, Mammalia, Rodentia, Heteromyidae.